GCAGGAGUAGCAGAAUGGUAAUGCUUCCGGCUGCAGACCGGGCGAUUGUGGGUUCAACUCCCAUCUCCUGCU
This 72-nucleotide transfer RNA is filed under the name Candidatus Diapherotrites archaeon CG09_land_8_20_14_0_10_32_12. RNAcentral describes it as "tRNA-Cys". It matches the Rfam family "tRNA". From Rfam's summary of the family: Transfer RNA (tRNA) molecules are approximately 80 nucleotides in length. Their secondary structure includes four short double-helical elements and three loops (D, anti-codon, and T loops). Lineage: Archaea; Nanobdellati; Candidatus Iainarchaeota. The record is from RNAcentral. RNAcentral also lists the same sequence under 1 other name.